This 341-nucleotide long non-coding RNA is filed under the name Coturnix japonica (Japanese quail). Its description in RNAcentral is "lncRNA (ENSCJPG00005011789.1)". Lineage: Eukaryota; Metazoa; Chordata; Aves; Galliformes; Phasianidae. The record is from RNAcentral.
AAAUGUUUAAUUGGCUCAUCAAAGCCAAAGAUAUCUUAGUAUGUCCUUCUGAAACUUUGAAAUAGUUUGGAAUUGAGGUUGGGAUUCUACUCAGUCCUCUGUCCCAGUGCUUGUUUUCCUGCCUCUAAGAGGAACAGAAAAGGACAAAGGCUGGAUUUGUCUGUGGUUUCGAGAUCUUCCAGAGAAAUGCGGCUAAGAACCAUUAAGUUCUACUUCAGUAUGAGGAGAAAUUGAUUGGGAUGAAAUCAGGUCAGUGUUUUAUUACCAGUCAAGGGAGAAUUUCAUGUCCUCACAUGUUAAGCUUCAAUAAUGUAUAGGAUACCUUAAUCAGUAAAUAACAU